UCUCGGAACCAACAUUGACGAUGAGGCACGAAAGCGGUGGGUAGCAAACAGGAUUAGAUACACUGGAGUACAAGCUGUAAUCGAUGUUCAGUUAGCAGCCGACGUCAUUAGAGAGGAUUGGGUGGUGCAGCUAAAAGCAUUAAGUGGACCGGUUUGGGGAGUACGGUCGCAAGGUUGAAAAUCAAAGGAAUGGACGGGGGCCGGCGCAAGCGGUGGAGCAUGUGGUUUGAUUCGGAUGCAACGCGGAAGAACCUUACCUGGUCUUGACAUGUAGUGAACUUAGCAGAAAUGUUUUGGUGCCUUCGGGAACACUAACACAGGUGCUGCACGGCUGUCGUCAGCUCGUGUCGUGAGAUGUUGGGUUAAGUCCCGCAACGAGCGCAACCCCUGUCCCUAGUUGCCAGCACGUAAUGGUGGGAGAUCUAGGGAGACUGCCGGUGAUAAACCGGAGGAAGGUGGGGAUGACGUCAAGUCAUCAUGGCCGUUAUGACCAGGGCUACACGCGUGCUACAAUGGGCAGUACAGAGGGAAGCAAAAUCGCGAGAUCAAGCAAAUCCCAGAAAGCUGUCCGUAGUCCGGAUCGGAGUCUGCAACUCGACUCCGUGAAGUCGGAAUCGCUAGUAAUCGCGAAUCAGCAUGUCGCGGUGAAUACGUUCCCGGGCCUUGUACACACCGCCCGUCACACCAUGGGAGUUUGUUGCACCAGAAGCAGGUAGUCUAACCGAAAGGAGGGCGCUUGCCACGGUGUGGCCGAUGACUGGGGUGAAGUCGUAACAAGGUAGCC
RNAcentral lists this ribosomal RNA (784 nucleotides) under uncultured Gammaproteobacteria bacterium. RNAcentral describes it as "bacterial SSU rRNA". It matches the Rfam family "Bacterial small subunit ribosomal RNA", at positions 726 to 1501 of the family's 1533-position model. The record is from RNAcentral. Lineage: Bacteria; Pseudomonadati; Pseudomonadota; Gammaproteobacteria.